This 253-nucleotide ribosomal RNA is filed under the name uncultured bacterium. RNAcentral's name for it is "partial 16S ribosomal RNA". It matches the Rfam family "Bacterial small subunit ribosomal RNA", at positions 524 to 776 of the family's 1533-position model. The record is from RNAcentral.
GACGUAGGGUGCGAGCGUUGUCCGGAUUUAUUGGGCGUAAAGAGCUCGUAGGCGGCUCGUCGCGUCGACCGUGAAAACCCGCGGCUUAACUGCGGGCUUGCGGUUGAUACGGGCGGGCUAGAGUUCGGUAGGGGAGACUGGAAUUCCUGGUGUAGCGGUGAAAUGCGCAGAUAUCAGGAGGAACACCGGUGGCGAAGGCGACCCGCUGGCCAGCGACUGACGCUGAGACGCGAAAGCGUGGGGAGCAAACAGG